GACGAACGCUGGCGGCGUGCUUAACACAUGCAAGUCGAACGGAAAGGCCUGUCCUUCCUUGUGUUGGACGGGUACUCGAGUGGCGAACGGGUGAGUAACACGUGAGUGAUCUGCCCCCAACUUGGGUAUAAGCCUGGGAAACUGGGUCUAAUUCCCGAUAGGACUGCAGGGUGGUGCCUGUGUUGGAAAACGAUUUUCUAGUGGUUGGGGAUGAGCUCGCGGCCUAUCAGCUUGUUGGCGGGGUAAUGGCCUACCAAGGCGGCGACGGGUAGCCGGCCUGAGAGGGUGGACGGCCACAGUGGGACUGAGAUACGGCCCAGACUCCUACGGGAGGCAGCAGUGGGGAAUAUUGCACAAUGGGCGGAAGCCUGAGGCAGCGACGCCGCGUGGGGGAUGACGGCCUUCGGGUUGUAAACUCCUUUCGACCGCGAGGAAGCCGCCUGGUUGGAAGGGUGGUGACGGUAGUGGUAGAAGAAGCACCGGCUAACUACGUG
This 494-nucleotide ribosomal RNA is filed under the name uncultured bacterium. Its description in RNAcentral is "partial 16S ribosomal RNA". It matches the Rfam family "Bacterial small subunit ribosomal RNA", at positions 28 to 507 of the family's 1533-position model. The record is from RNAcentral.